RNAcentral lists this transfer RNA (73 nucleotides) under Dipodomys ordii (Ord's kangaroo rat). It matches the Rfam family "tRNA". From Rfam's summary of the family: Transfer RNA (tRNA) molecules are approximately 80 nucleotides in length. The record is from Rfam by way of RNAcentral. Lineage: Eukaryota; Metazoa; Chordata; Mammalia; Rodentia; Heteromyidae.
GGGAAGGUGGCUCAGUGGUAGAGCGCUUGCCUUGCAUGCAUGAAGCCCUGGGUUUUGAUUCCUCAGCAACCCA